This 536-nucleotide long non-coding RNA is filed under the name Phoenix dactylifera (date palm). Its description in RNAcentral is "long non-coding RNA (PDAC_LNC022266)". The record is from RNAcentral. Lineage: Eukaryota; Viridiplantae; Streptophyta; Magnoliopsida; Arecales; Arecaceae.
AAAAUGAUAAAAAAUUUUAAUAAGUGUAAAAUACUUUAAAAUUUUAUUUAAAAAUAAUUUGUGUAGCUUUUUGAGAUGUAAAAUUACUAAUCAAACUUUUGUACUCAAGAUUCAUUAAAAUACUAUUUUCAAUCGAUAAUAUAGCUAAUCCAUUUAAUCUUUCUUAUGAAAUAGUUGACCGCAAAUAAGAUUUUAUCAACUUUAAUUUUGAAAAACUUCUUUCAGCAGAAACAACUAUUAAAGGUAUUGUUAACAAUAUCCUAUAAGCAACGCAUGCAUUUGGAAAAAAAACUAUUUUUUUAUAAAACUUAAAGUAUCAAUAGGGGUACUGGUUUCUGUUUGUAAAACUUCUUUUAAAACUUUCAAGAUUAAGACAACAAUUUUUCAAAUCUUUGUAAAACUUCUUUUAAAACUUUUCAUUCUGAAAAUAGAUCAAGACCAUCAAUAUCAGAAUAUUCACUAUGCUUUAAAAAAUUUUCAAGAUUAAGACAACAAUUUUUCAAAUCCUUUACAUUCAAAGAUUUUAACUGUUGACU